CGUGCGCUCACCUAUCGUCCGCAUAGCGCUUGGGGGUCGGCGGCCUUCGCUCUUUCCUUCUCCGGCCCGCCUGCACCCGGCCUGUGUAUCGCCGCCGCCGGGGCCUCAGCCACGGCUCCUCCAGCUGUCCCAACCGCGCCUCCUGUCACUGGCUUUCUUCCUCAACGGCGUGCACACCAGCGCUGUAGCGGAGCUUCUCUCCACCAGCGCCGGUCUCCCUCUGUCCGGCGAACUUCGCGGCGAGCCCGCCGACACAGCCACAGCUGCAACCCUCCUCCCCAGCGUCCCCCUCUCCGGCGUG
This 301-nucleotide unclassified non-coding RNA is filed under the name Zea mays. Its description in RNAcentral is "misc RNA Zm00001eb404420". Lineage: Eukaryota; Viridiplantae; Streptophyta; Magnoliopsida; Poales; Poaceae. The record is from RNAcentral.